This is a long non-coding RNA of Gallus gallus (chicken), 1694 nucleotides long. NCBI's taxonomy places the organism in Eukaryota, Metazoa, Chordata, Aves, Galliformes, Phasianidae. The record is from Ensembl.
UUUCAGCAGUGCACCAUGCCUUGGUGAGAAGUGGAAGCAGACCUUUAGAGAUGCAUCCUGGACACUCCUUUUGCCCCCCUUGGUGAAAGAAGGAUGGGAUGCUGCCAGGACAGCCACAGUUUCUGCAACACAAAGCUGAAAUUACAAGAUUGUUGUCGUAAGAAAGCAGAAACAGUGUAUGGCACUCCGUGCCCUGCAGUGCUGCCGUUCUUCCGUUGUUUUUACAAACAUUGCUACCUUUCUAGGCAGCCAGGGCUGCUAAUUUCUUCUCAUUACAACUAUAUGAAAAAGAAGUGAGAGAUACCUCUAGUACACCAAUAUUAAUAUGGUGAAUAAUUAAGCCAUCAAGAAAACUGUAUAUGUUUUCAAAGAAGCCAAGCACCUGCACACGGACAAUUUCUGUCUUAUAGCUGUGUUUGAGAAUAGUGAGAAUGGGGAAAAAAAGCCUUUGCUGUAUCUCCUUCAAGACAGACAGGAGUGUGUUUAUUUUCACCAAAUAUCCAUACACAUAUGACACUCUCUCAGAAAUGGACAGUUGCUGGAAGAGUAACACCUUUUUAUUCCUUAUGAUAUAUGUCCCGCACGUGCAUCUCCUGUAUGUGUGCAAAUACAGGAGGAAGGAAGUCCUGGAAGACUUGGGAGCUCUCAGUGGGAAACCAAGGCAAAGGGCACAGUUCUCAUACAAAUGGGCAAAGGCAUCUGGGCCUCAUUGAAGUCUUGCAAAUAAUUAAGAAUAUUAGACCUCUGGUUACUGAUCAUCUUGCAGAAGUAUGUAUUUCAUCUAUCUGUCCUGGAUUUCUUUUUGCUUCUACCCCAUAUUGUGAGACAGGAUAUUACAAUAAGUUCUUCAUAUUUCUUUGUCAGUGUAACAACAUUCUCCAGGCAAAAUGUGUCACACUUUUCUCCAUCGGAUUGUUAUUUCUCUAGAGCCAUAAAAGUUGGCAUACCAUAAGUGCCAGUGGUGCUUAAAAGCCUGUCUUGAUGGGGAAAUGGAUUGCAAAAAUAGUAUUUCCUUACUUUUGUAAUGAAAAAAAAAGGAACAGUUUUGUAAAAUAGCUGUUCAGUGAAAUACACAAAAAUGCCAUUAGUAUGAAGGAUAAAAGUUCUCCUGCAAUGCAGGAAGAGACCCUUUUUCGUUGUGCUUUUAUUAUUUGUAAUUAAUGUGCUCACCUCAGAUUUCUGCCAACAGCCCAGCGCAAAAUGAAUCUCUGUGCAUUCUCUCUUUGUUUCUCCUUGUUCUAUCAUGCUGUGUACCAUUAUGAGAAUGUAAGGGAAUAUAUGUAUAUAUAUAUAUGGCAGGAUCUCUAAUCACAUAUUUUUUGCUAAUUUUAGUUCAAAUACAGAGUUAGUGACAAUGUCAAUACAAACACAGUCUGUUUCAAGGUGUGUAUACCCGUGUAACAAAAACAGUCAGGAAAGGACUUAGGGAGCACGGGACAGAGGUGUGCAGCAGAACGCACCUCUUCUGUGCCAUAUCCAAAUACGGUACCUAAUUUUCAAUAGAAAAGGCAAAAACAUGGAAACAUGGCCCCAGUGUCCGCAAAGUGGACACUGCACAAACAGCAGAAAAUGCUUAUUUUUCAUCUAAUGAAGUGACUAGUCAAAUUCUGCUUACUGUAUCCUGUGCGUAGCAUAGUUGCUUAUGCGUAUCAGUAUAGAAUUUAUAUUCCUCUAUCUGCACCAGCCGAAAACAC